RNAcentral lists this ribosomal RNA (582 nucleotides) under uncultured Pseudomonas sp. RNAcentral describes it as "bacterial SSU rRNA". It matches the Rfam family "Bacterial small subunit ribosomal RNA", at positions 102 to 680 of the family's 1533-position model. The record is from RNAcentral. Lineage: Bacteria; Pseudomonadati; Pseudomonadota; Gammaproteobacteria; Pseudomonadales; Pseudomonadaceae.
ACGGGUGAGUAAUGCCUAGGAAUCUGCCUGGUAGUGGGGGACAACGUCUCGAAAGGGACGCUAAUACCGCAUACGUCCUACGGGAGAAAGUGGGGGAUCUUCGGACCUCACGCUAUCAGAUGAGCCUAGGUCGGAUUAGCUAGUUGGUGAGGUAAUGGCUCACCAAGGCGACGAUCCGUAACUGGUCUGAGAGGAUGAUCAGUCACACUGGAACUGAGACACGGUCCAGACUCCUACGGGAGGCAGCAGUGGGGAAUAUUGGACAAUGGGCGAAAGCCUGAUCCAGCCAUGCCGCGUGUGUGAAGAAGGUCUUCGGAUUGUAAAGCACUUUAAGUUGGGAGGAAGGGUUGUAGAUUAAUACUCUGCAAUUUUGACGUUACCGACAGAAUAAGCACCGGCUAACUCUGUGCCAGCAGCCGCGGUAAUACAGAGGGUGCAAGCGUUAAUCGGAAUUACUGGGCGUAAAGCGCGCGUAGGUGGUUUGUUAAGUUGAAUGUGAAAUCCCCGGGCUCAACCUGGGAACUGCAUCCAAAACUGGCAAGCUAGAGUAGGGCAGAGGGUGGUGGAAUUUCCUGUGUAGCG